UACGUAGGGUGCGAGCGUUACUCGGAAUUACUGGGCGUAAAGCGUGCGCAGGCGGUUCGUUGUGUCCGAUGUGAAAGCCCCGAGCUCAACUUGGGAAUGGCAUUGGAAACUGGCGGGCUGGAGUGUGGCAGAGGGGGGUGGAAUUCCACGUGUAGCAGUGAAAUGCGUAGAGAUGUGGAGGAACACCGAUGGCGAAGGCAGCCCCCUGGGCCAACACUGACGCUCAGGCACGAAAGCGUGGGGAGCAAACAGG
RNAcentral lists this ribosomal RNA (253 nucleotides) under uncultured bacterium. Its description in RNAcentral is "partial 16S ribosomal RNA". It matches the Rfam family "Bacterial small subunit ribosomal RNA", at positions 524 to 776 of the family's 1533-position model. The record is from RNAcentral.